UCUAACAUUCCGGAUAUGCCUGUUGGUCGUCGAAAAUCUAGCGAACUUUACAGACAGAACAAUGCCCUUCGGAUUCCGAGUUGAGUGGAAUUUUAGGUCUAAAUCCGGCAGGGUCAUAAAAAGUGCUUAUUACAUUAUCACCUCAAGCGUGGCUGAGCUGGCUGUGGGCAGUGCCACGCCCACCCGCACACACACUGGCCCGUCCACAAAACGCAAUUCACUCUCUCCUUCUCUCUUUAUCAAAGGAACUGUGUGUGUGUGUGUAAAUGCCCUUUCCUUCGAAGGAUAUUACGAUUCUUGCAUCUGCUUUGUCUACUUCAGAUCUUCCGAGGAGUUUGCCCUUACAUGAUUACAUGAUGCGUAAUUCAGAGCUUAGGACUAAUCUGAAAUCUAGAAAUCUGUAAAUAGAUCACCUUUAUACCUGUAUGCAUGAUUCUGAACCAUAAUCUUUUAAUUUUAUGUUUUAUAAGUCGGCAUUGCUUUGAAGAUGUAUUCCUAAAAGGUUUGAUCUUAAGAAGCAUAUCACAAGUUGAUCUGAUUAAACAUUAGAUAUGCUCCUACUAUACAGAAUAAGAAAUAAGAAUUAUUUCAACUUAAGUAUUGAAUUCUAAUCUAUUUAAUGGUUUCUAGAGCCAACUGUUGAUAUCUCAUUAUAUUUUUGCCACUGGCUUUAUCAGUAUUGAAUUAAAUAUAUUCCCCCAAAUUGAUUUAGUAAAUAAAAAUUAAAUUUACAACCUGCUAGAGUAUUCUGAAGUUCAGUGGCCGCAGCUGACUCCCCUUUUCUCGGUUUUUGCUGCGUGUUUGGGGGCUUUAUUAUGGCCCUGGCAGCUGCGUUUUUCAAUUUUCGCUUUUUUAGGCCUGCAAACUCUCACCUGAGCUCGUUGAGCCCUGAGCCUUGAGCCGAUUUGUUUCGGUUCGGUUUGGUAUGGUUUGGUUUGGUUUGGUUCAGUUCGGUCGCUUCAGUUCAUUGGCAAAUGUUUCGUAGCUGGAAAACGGAGGAAAAUUCGGAGGAAAAACGGGGCGGAAUCUGGUGCAGAAAUGCGAAAAAUGUGUAAAUUUGCGCCCGCUUUUAUUUUUCGCAUUUGGCCCGGAUGAUGUGUAGCGGCUGAUCCGCUUUGGCAACGCUCCCAGACUUCUCGCCAAUCGAUUUCGAUUUGGGAUCGAUGGAGAGCAGGCGCAGCUGUAAACCAUUUAGCCGACGAUGCCGUAGACGUUUAGUAAAUAUUCAAUCAAUUUGGAUGGACAAUAAAUCACCAGGAAAUCAAGAGCGUCUCAAUUUCUCCGAACAGAUAUGCGUCAUAACAAUAAAAAAAAGAAGCAUCCCAUUUCCCGCACUUUCCCCCAAAGUGCGGCAAAUAAACAAGACAAGGCGACAGGCCAUAAUAUAUCAUGGCCCCAAGGCGCCUGACGACACGACACGAAGAUGGAGAGUCAGCUUCGAAGGACACUGAUGCGUAAUGGCUGCCAGGGGGAUGACAUCGAUCCGGAGCUCCGUCUCCUUAACUGCAAAUCAAUGACAUAUAUUUACGGCAAAUGCGUUUGCCCGCCGGGGCCACAUGGACGGGAAUAAUAGGUUGGAAUAAAGUAAUAACCCGAAUAAUAGCAUAUGUCGGCGGAGCCAUUACCUGCCGCUAAUUGCCGGACAAACUUCUCCUGUCGCCGCCUAAGCCGGUCGCCAAUUAAAGCCAAACAAAUGCCGCUUGGAGUGCUAAAAGCCCUCAAUCCGGAUCUCACGGCUCCCGAGAGCCAGCCGCAAUGUAAGUGCGGCUCAUAAUUUAUUUCGAUUACGCCGCAGCACGCAAUUUGCGCCGGGCACAUCCUUUUCAAGCACACGGACACGCACAGGAAGUGAGAUAUCCAGGAGCACCGGGAGUGCGAGUGGAGCACCAGGGCCAGAGAUAAGUGUGCGCUGCGCGCAAUUUCCGUUUCCGCUUGGUUUGCCCUUAUCCAGCGCUGAUGCUGUGAAAAUCCACUAAGCAACAAUUAAAUCACAGACUCUCGAGAGCAACUCGGCAAGAUAAAAGCGUAGAACGCAGCAUAAACAAUGUAAGGAAUCGUCUACGAACUUAACCAACUAUCGGAAGAUGCUGUUAAACUAUACUAAAAAUAGUAAACGUUUUCAUGAAUCGAUUUGGAAUGUCUUAUAAUAUCCAUUCUUAUAUGACGAAUCAAAGCCCGCGCUGCAGGAGUGACUCAGAGGCAUUAAUUUGAGGAUUGGAGGACAGAAACAAAGACAAAGGCUACCUGAAGUGAAUCAUUCCCAAUCGUUUCCAUGCAGGUAACAAGAGGCCGCCAAGCAUUACCAUUAGCUGACUAAUCGGUGCCUUCAAGAGUGGCCGCUCCAGUCCGUGGCACUCCAGAAGCAGACCAAAAUCGAUUCCGCUUUAAGCGUUUGCUCUUUACGCUUAGAAGUUAUAAAUAUUUAUGGCGCACAUAAUGCAGCGCGUUGAGCUUGGCCAAUAAUUUCUCCGCUUACAGCUCUGCGAUAACUGGGAUCCCAGGCUAAAUGUCGGGAUGUGUGUGUGCUCCAGAUGCAGCGAAGCGAGCAUUUUCCACUGAAGGAUUUAUGCUCGCUGACAUGCAACUUAAAAGCAAGGACAACAGCGAGAGAUAGCACUAUGGGAUGAAGGGGGUUGAGGAGCGGGAUGCGGACGCAAGCAGCGGCAAACUUUUCUUAUGCGGGAUACUUUUCUUGUGCAGUCGGAACAACAAUCGGCGAAGCGAUGCUGAGCACAAGGAUUAGGCCACAAGGAGAAUGGGAGUCUGCAGCAGAAAGGAGCCGAAAUUUAUGUGACUUUUGCAUGUGGGCUGCAGGAUGCAGGAUGUGGCUCGCACUGGCUAGACAUUAGUACAAUUUCCGGUCCAAGCCACAAAAUAUUCAAUAAUAUAUUAAAGAUAUAGCCAGCAACCCGAAAGAGAUAUCACACAAAAGGCAAGGAGCAGGGAAAACCGGCAGAUACAGGCGCACACCAGCAGGCACGAAUUCGACAACUCAACUGAAGCGUAGCAGGCAGGAUAAAUCUAAAUAAGACGUGCUUCGACUCCCGCCUGGCCUACUCGUUCUGCUCCUCCUCCUGCCCCUGCUCCUCCAUCUUCUCUAUUCUGCGGCAAGGUAGCUGGAGCAUGCAACAUCAGCCAGAGAAUUUGUGCAAUGAAGUGCAAGUGAACUUAAAGGGACUAAAGAUACUCCCAACUACCUGACCACACGAGAGAUGAGCACGUGAGGCGGAUGAAAAUGCGGAGUCCAAACACGAAUCACAGUAAUUCAAGUUGCUAAUCAUUAUUAAGCCACCGAAUAAGUGCAGUUAUAUAGCACCCAAUUUGGCUAGACUAUAAAGAUUAAAUUUUUGAUACCAAGAUUUAUUGCUAAAUGAAUUUAUAGCUAAUCACAACUGAAGUGCAUUUAUAAAAAGAUAUGACGCAAGGUAGUAUUAGACAUUACCAGUGAUCUAUAAAAGUGCAACAUGCAAUUAAUGAGGUGAAUCGAUUUAAAAACUAUUAAGAUAGUAGUUAAUAUAUUUAUCGUUUGAUGACCUAACAAAAGUUAAAGGAUCACUGAACCCACAAAAAUGUAAAUAACAUUUGAUACAAAAUGAUCUGGCUUGGCUCACGAACUCAUAUCCCCUCGAACUCCCUUCAAACAAAACGGAAGUGCCACUCGAUUCCCUGGAGCGGAAGUGGAUAUGGGGGCUACCGGAGGAAGCAGCCAGGUUUAUGGGUAUAUGGGGUUCGUUCAAUAAAUUUCAGCACUCUUAAAUUGGCAAUGCGCUGCACUUUCAGUGGCAGUGGCAUGCACCGAUGUCCAUGGCGUCCAGUGCGGAGUCAGUAGUCAUGGGUCCGUUAAAGCGGGCCCGGUAAAAUUGAUAAUCAAUCAAAUGCGGCGCUGACGCAGCCAGGCACUUAAUCACUGUCUGGUUAUCCUUUUUGUUUCGCUGGCUUAACUUUUAUCAAUUACGCCUUUUGGCGACUGACAGAGAUGAAUCACGGGAAAUCAGCAAUGCAUCGAGAGAAGUUGCUUACCCCAACGGCCGACUAUCUCUUUAUUAAUUCAAUUAACGUUGCUCUGCCAAUUGGUGUGGAAUUAGCCGGCGACUCAAGUCAAAAGCCUUUGGAUCAGGUGCGGCUUAUGGCCCCAUAAUCAGCACACUUCUGUGGUUCCUGGGCAUGGUCAAAACCAAGGUAACUUUCUGAAACAAUGUUACAUUGCCUGCCAAGUGCACAAAUGCAAUUUUCAUGUCUCGGCUUCGAAUAAGCUGGCACAACAGUUGCUCUUGAGGCAUUGUUCAAUUAAUAAAAUGUCCGAGUGCAUUGAAAGCAACCGCAGACCGAGAUGCACUUUCCCCACUUUCGCCCCUCAUCUGUUGACGAUGUGGUCGAGAAAAGUGCAAGUUCAAUCAGCAGCUGCAAGCUGCAAACUGCAAUCGAGAGUCAAGAAUCGAGAGUGGAGACCACAGCAGGGUGUCGCCUCCGCCUGAUUCAAUUACACAAGAGCCCGUAAUCAAAGCAAAGGAAAUUUGCCUCUAUUAUUUCGCUUGCAUAAAUCACUAAGAACGAAGACCUUGAAAAUUUACAAAAGCAAACAGUUGAUACCCUGUUUCGACAGGUACGCCAAAAAAUAAGUAGAACAUGGCAAACGGCACUGAUAUACCUCAAAAUGAAAGAGCAGUUGCGAGUUAUGAAAAGUCCUCCGUUUGAGUCAAAGACAAAGGCAAACACGGCUACCAACACAAAGGCUGCCCCCAGACAGGAGUCAAAUAAUUAAUGGCCAACCGGGGAAGGCAAACAAACAAGCUUAAAACGAGCAAAAACACAACAGAAGCUGAACCGAAACGAACCGAAAGCAGAAAAAAUCUCGAGAGGAAGGUCAACUGUUUUGAAUACACUUCCUCGAAAAAGGAAGUUCCAUUCAUGAGCGAUUAAAUGUCAAGACAAUCACAAAUUGGCUAAACGAUUUUUGUUGAUUGUUUUUAAUACGUAUUUAUAAAAUUUAAAAAUCAUUUGAGGGUUGUUAGGAGGAUUUCACUGCUGGUGAAAUUUAACGUAGUGACGAAGCGCACCCGAAACAGCAAAGUUAAUGUUGUGAGUGUUAUAUAUAUUAACUUAAAGGAAUAAAACAGAUAUACCUUUAGCAAGGGCAGCGAAAAAGGCGAGUCAUGAGCGGAUUUGCAUGAGCGAAACGCGGAGUUCGGCGGGAAAAGGAUACUGGGCUGGAGGAUCAUGUGUGUGGGACUGGCGGCCACGUCGGUUGCCUUGGAUGCCGUCAGUAGCUUGUUAUGCACUGUCCUCUCCAGUGUUCCCGUGGUUGUCUAGACUUUAAGUUGGCUAAUAGCCGACACUGGCGCUUUUUUUAUCUCUUUGAUUGUUAUGAUAUGGUAUGUGGACCGAGGGCUUUGGUCAGAAAGCCGGAAAUUUGUAGUCAACCGAAUUUGCGCUCUUGUAUUACUUAUUUGGUCCAUUAUUUGUGCGCUGCUUGGCUUUCGCUUUUAUUUGACUUUGGCCUUUUGUGCGACGCUUUUUGUGGCCCCAAAACGAACCCUGCACUUGAUAAUGAAAUAUAUAAACGUGGCUUCUAUGCGAGAGUGGGUAAAAAUCCGUGGGCAUAAGGCUUAUAACACACACAGGAUGCAGGACAUAGGGCGCAGGACUUCCGGACAACCAGGGAAGCAACAGGGAAAGGACUUUAUACUGUAUACGGGGUGCGAGAACUGAACACAGAAACUCGCUGCGAGAAAUCAUAAAUUAAUCCGAUUUAAGCAGCUCAGUAGCUUAUUUUUAUGCCAACCAACUCCGAACCAGCAGUUUUUGUUGCUCGAUGAAAGCGGUGGUAGAUUCACUCCUGGCCAUGUCAUGUGUUGCAUCCUGAUGAGUUGCGGCAGCAUUUAAAGGAGACCAAUUUGUUUGGCACUGGCUCAAGAGCCAGGAAGCUGACAUGAUUGGAUGCUGACGAUGACUAAGAUGAUGAUUCGUUGUCAAGGUAGAAGAGCCCUCGACUGUCAGUGCUCAGUUGGGCAGAGUGGCGCAGUUCAUUCGAGUUCGUUCGGGGCUUAGUUCCGCUGCACAGCUUGUGUCCUGGCAGCCAAGGAGCUCAGCUCGGCACAGCGAAAAAUAGCCUAGCAACGUUUCAUCAGCAUGGCAUUCUUUUACGGGCAAAAUGAUCUAUGAACGUAUACUUGGGAUUUCAUUAGCUUUCUCAAAAUAUCUUUAAUUGUGUGAUAUAUAUACUGGUACACAAAAGAAGACAAAUCCCUUUUCAUUGGAUAUAAGUUAGGGUUUCGCUUGAACUAUAUAAAUAUAACUAAUUAAAGUUAAACUUUUUAUGUAAACAUAGUAUAUGACGUUUCUUCCUGUGUGGCUCAUUACGAGCAAAGUUUUUACGCAAAAUCCUGCGGACGAGGAUGCGGCUUAAGUGCGCCAUUCCAAAUUCAAUUGGGCUUGAAGUGUUCGAAAGGCAAAAGGCAUCCAGCCAGGAGAUGUCGCACCGCCGCGAGGCGGCUCAACUCAUCUUGGCUAGAACUGUUUGGAUUUAUGGGCGGAAAAACGAGAGAGUGGCCAACAAAUGAUUGAGAUUUAGUUGGCUUAAUUUUUCGUUGUGUAAUCCAUCAAGAUUUCCAUUUCAAAUUGCGCAUGCUGGAUGAUUUUCGCAUAAAUUCCAAACCAAUUUGCUUAGUCCUUUUUUCACAACCAUUAAAUGCCAGUCCUGUUGCACUUUUGGCCAACAUUGUUUCAAGUGGCUGCGUUGAUAAUUGUUAAUUGACAGAAGCGCUCGAGUUUAGCCCAUUUAAAUUAAUCGAAACAGCUCAAUUCCGUGAUAAUCCGCACUGGCUGUGUGAUGUUUUAUUUAUUUUCUGUUUUAAAUAGCCCAGUGCAGCUCGGAAAAGAGAGAAGCCGCAUAGCAUUGACACAAAUCCACAGCUGUUUAAAUAGAAAUUGCGCAUUUAGCGCUGGCCACGCCCACCCCCACGUACCGCCCACUCGAAGCCGAAAACAAACAGAUAAAAAGAGCGCACAGAAUUCGUGUUAUUUUCGAACGAACAACAAUAUUUACAAAUUCUUUUCGGGGGACUUUGCCUCAGCUAUCAAGCCCCAAAUCAAUAAUUCCGAAUUAUUGGGGCAUUGUUUUGGUCCCAAUAAGUAAA
Long non-coding RNA from Drosophila simulans, 7136 nucleotides. RefSeq lists it as uncharacterized. NCBI's taxonomy places the organism in Eukaryota, Metazoa, Arthropoda, Insecta, Diptera, Drosophilidae. The record is from RefSeq and is a predicted model, not a curated record. The transcript has 2 exons.